This is a non-coding RNA of Pelobates cultripes (western spadefoot toad), 537 nucleotides long. Lineage: Eukaryota; Metazoa; Chordata; Amphibia; Anura; Pelobatidae. The record is from the annotation of a GenBank genome assembly.
GGAAGACAUGCCGACGGCCCAACGAGCCGCUGUGGGUCUGCCGACUGCCAGCAGAGGGAAGCAGCUACAAAGCCACCAGGGAUGGCAUCGGUUAAAGGGCAGAGAACUGAGAUGGGGAUAAGUCAGGGUACCGACUACCCAAAGUCCGACCAUACCCAGUUGUAAAACACUUUGAUUUCCUGCCUUAGAAGCACGUUGUUCCACAAUUUUGUUUUAACCUGACAGAACACAACAUUAGUGAUGCCCACUUCACCCCACCUUAUGUUAAAACGCACCUCUAUCUAGUUUCACUGCCAGAUAGUCAACACACUGUACCCAGACCGCUCUCACCUCUCUGGGGCUGAAAGCACAUCACACACACAGACAAAGCAGCCAUGUUGGAAAUAUCUUACCUAGCAGCUCCAAAACAAAGCAGAAAUAGUCUAAAAUCAACCUCUUGUAUUAUUACAUUUCACCAAGUAUCUAGAAAACCUCACCUACUAGGAAUGCUGAUGCUGUAAUCGAACACUAGAUAACUCACGCAAGCGUGUUUAUAAA